This 459-nucleotide ribosomal RNA is filed under the name uncultured bacterium. RNAcentral's name for it is "partial 16S ribosomal RNA". It matches the Rfam family "Bacterial small subunit ribosomal RNA", at positions 338 to 795 of the family's 1533-position model. The record is from RNAcentral.
CCUACGGGGGCAGCAGUGAGGAAUAUUGGUCAAUGGACGAGAGUCUGAACCAGCCAAGUAGCGUGAAGGAUGACUGCCCUAUGGGUUGUAAACUUCUUUUAUAAAGGAAUAAAACGAGGCACGUGUGCCUUUUUGCAUGUACUUUAUGAAUAAGGAUCGGCUAACUCCGUGCCAGUAGCCGCGGUAAUACGGAGGAUCCGAGCGUUAUCCGGAUUUUUUGGGUUUAAAGGGAGCGUAGAUGGGUUGUUAAGUCAGUUGUGAAAGUUUGCGGGUCAACCGUAAAAUUGCAAUUGAUACUGGCAGUCUUGAGUACAGUUGAGGUAAGCGGAAUUCGUGGUGUAGCGGUGAAAUGCUUAGAUAUCACGAAGAACCCCGAUUGCGAAGGCAGCUUACUAAACUGUGACUGACAUUGAUGCUCGAAAGUGUGGGUAUCAAACAGGAUUAGAUACCCCUGUAGUC